UAUCUCUGUAGAGUCUGCAUAUCAAUAAGCGGAGGAAAAGAAACUAACUAGGAUUCCCUCAGUAACGGCGAGUGAAGCGGGAAGAGCUCAAAUUUGAAAUCUUCAAGGUUCUACCUUGACGAAUUGUAGUUUAAAGAAGUGUUUUCUGUUGGAGUUUUGGUAAAAGUUCUUUGGAAUAGGACAUCAUAGAGGGUGAGAAUCCCGUAUUUGACCAUUAUUUCCAACUUUGUGAUACACUUUCAAAGAGUCGGAUUGUUUGGGAAUGCAGUCCAAAAUGGGUGGUAAAUUUCAUCUAAAGCUAAAUACUGGCGAGAGACCGAUAGCGAACAAGUACCGUGAGGGAAAGAUGAAAAGAACUUUGAAAAGAGAGUUAAACAGUACGUGAAAUUGUCAAAAGGGAAGCGUUUGACACCGGUGUUGUUUUCUCGAAAAUCAAUUAAAAAUGGUGGGAUUUUGUGUUGUAUUGACUUUAUCAGCUUUCUGCACUUUUUUCCUGUCUUUUUUAAUGCACUUUUCGUUUAACAAGUCAACAUCAAUUUCUUUUGUUGUAAAAGGGUCAUUGGAAGGUGGCUUUCUUUUCGGAGAAAGUGUUUAUAGCCUUUGACUUCUGCAAUCGGAGAGAUUGAGGUCUGCAGCGUAGAUCCUUCGGGGUUAGAUGCAUUUGUGCUAAGUUAUAGCCUUUCAUAGACAACUUGUUGACUAUGAUCAGUCAUGUAGCUUACUCGCUUAUGUCAUUUUACCUACGCUUAGGAUGUUGAUCUCUCACAGUCGAGC
Molecule: ribosomal RNA, 774 nt
Filed under: uncultured Neocallimastigales
Lineage: Eukaryota; Fungi; Neocallimastigomycota; Neocallimastigomycetes; Neocallimastigales
Description: partial large subunit ribosomal RNA
Rfam family: Eukaryotic large subunit ribosomal RNA
Source: RNAcentral